AUGGACAGCAAGGAUGGUGGAACAAAGUAUGCACAGCAGUUCCAGAGCAGAGUCACGCUGGCUGCAGACACGUCCACCGGCACCGCCUACAUGGAGCUGAGCAGUCUGAGGUCUGAGGACACGGCUGUUUAUUACUGGGUGCAGCUGCAGGAGUCGGGACCCAGCCUGGUGAAGCCCUCACAGACCCUCUCCCUCACCUUCACGGACUCUGGAUUCUCAUUAACCAGCUAUGGUGCAGGCUGGGUCCGCCAGGCUCCAGGAAAGGCGCCGGAGUGGGUUGGUGGUAUAGAUUAUGACGGAGACACAAGCUAUAACCCGGCCCUGAAAUCCCGGCUCAGCAUCACCAGGGACACCUCCAAGAGCCAAGUCUCCCUGUCACGGAGCAGUGUGACAACUGAGGACACGGCCGUGUACUACUGUGCAAGAGACACA
Non-coding RNA from Capra hircus (goat), 432 nucleotides. The record is from the annotation of a RefSeq genome assembly. Lineage: Eukaryota; Metazoa; Chordata; Mammalia; Artiodactyla; Bovidae.